RNAcentral lists this signal recognition particle RNA (266 nucleotides) under Tissierellia bacterium. RNAcentral describes it as "signal recognition particle sRNA large type". It matches the Rfam family "Bacterial large signal recognition particle RNA". From Rfam's summary of the family: The signal recognition particle (SRP) is a universally conserved ribonucleoprotein involved in the co-translational targeting of proteins to membranes. Lineage: Bacteria; Bacillati; Bacillota; Tissierellia. The record is from RNAcentral.
CUGCACUAGAUGGGGCGGUAGCGGUGCCCUAUAACCUGCAAUCCGCUAUAGCAGGAUUGAAUUCCCAGCCUAGACUAUAUAUAUGUUGAGCAGCUUUUAGUAAGUGGUGUUGACAGAAUGGUCUCGCGCAAUGGAAACCUAUGAACCAUGUCAGGUCCCGAAGGAAGCAGCAUUAAGUAGUCAUUUUCAUGUGCCGCGAGGGCGCCUUUCUCGAGCAAACUGCUAGGAUAACGUCAGGGUAUAUAUAGACGAAGCUGGGUGUGCUU